ACUGCCACAAAUCCUUCUGGUUUCCUGUUUUUAGAAAUUAGAAUUAGUCAAAGUGGAAGAGAGGGAAUAAAGAAAGUGUGGGUAAUUUAGAAAUGAUCUGUGUCUUCAACAGGGGAUUGAGGAAAUAUGUCUGCCCUUAUCACGGCAUUAAAAAAAAAAGUACAAAUAUUGAAGUAUACUGCUGGUUAUUAGGAUUUAUUUAUUUAUUCAUUUGAAUAGAGCUCUUGUCUUUGUGCACUUUAUCUAAUAUAUCACAUGAC
Molecule: non-coding RNA, 260 nt
Organism: Biomphalaria pfeifferi
Lineage: Eukaryota; Metazoa; Mollusca; Gastropoda; Planorbidae
Source: the annotation of a GenBank genome assembly